RNAcentral lists this ribosomal RNA (404 nucleotides) under uncultured prokaryote. RNAcentral describes it as "bacterial SSU rRNA". It matches the Rfam family "Bacterial small subunit ribosomal RNA", at positions 355 to 774 of the family's 1533-position model. The record is from RNAcentral.
UGGGGAAUAUUGGGCAAUGGGGGCAACCCUGACCCAGCGACGCCGCGUGAGGGAAGAAGGCCUUCGGGUUGUAAACCUCUUUUGUAUGGGAAGAAGGACGUGACGGUACCAUACGAAUAAGUCCCGGCUAACUACGUGCCAGCAGCCGCGGUAAUACGUAGGGGACGAGCGUUGUCCGGAAUUACUGGGCGUAAAGGGCGCGCAGGCUGUUUGACAAGUCAGCUGUUAAAUAUGGGGGCUUAACCCUUAUAUGCGGUUGAAACUAUCAGACUGGAGUGCUGUAGAGGCAAGUGGAAUUCCCAGUGUAGCGGUGAAAUGCGUAGAUAUUGGGAAGAACACCGGUGGCGAAGGCGACUUGCUGGGCAGCAACUGACGCUGAGGCGCGAAAGCCAGGGGAGCAAACG